Molecule: ribosomal RNA, 301 nt
Filed under: uncultured actinomycete
Lineage: Bacteria; Bacillati; Actinomycetota; Actinomycetes; Actinomycetales
Description: bacterial SSU rRNA
Rfam family: Bacterial small subunit ribosomal RNA
Source: RNAcentral
AUUGGAUGAGCCCGCGGCCUAUUAGCUAGUUGGUAGGGUAACGGCCUACCAAGGUUAUGAUGGGUAGCCGGCCUGAGAGGGUGAUCGGCCACACUGGGACUGCGACACGGCCCAGACUCCUACGGGAGGCAGCAGUGAGGAAUUUUGCGCAAUGGGCGAAAGCCUGACGCAGCGACGCCGCGUGGAGGAAGACGGCCUUCGGGUUGUAAACUCCUGUCAGAGGUGAAGAAUGCCCGCAAGGGUUCGACGGUAACCUCAAAGGAAGCCCCGGCUAACUACGUGCCAGCAGCCGCGGCCGAAU